AUUGAACGCUGGCGGCAGGCUUAACACAUGCAAGUCGAGCGGGGGAAGGUAGCUUGCUACCGGACCUAGCGGCGGACGGGUGAGUAAUGCUGAGUAAUCCGCCUAUUAGUGGGGGACAACAUCUCGAAAGGGAUGCUAAUACCGCAUACGUCCUAUGGGAGAAAGCAGGGGAUCUUCGGACCUUGGGGUAAUAGAUGAGCCUAAGUCGGAUUAGCUAGUUGGUGGGGUAAAGGCCUACCAAGGCGACGAUCUGUAGCGGGUCUGAGAGGAUGAUCCGCCACACUGGGACUGAAACACGGCCCAGACUCCUACGGGAGGCAGCAGUGGGGAAUAUUGGACAAUGGGGGGAACCCUGAUCCAGCCAUGCCGCAUGUGUGAAGAAGGCCUUAUGGUUGUAAAGCACUUUAAGCGAGGAGGAGGCUACUUUAGUUAAUACCUAGAGAUAGUGGACGUUACUCGCAGAAUAAGCACCGGCUAACUCUGUGCCAGCAGCCGCAGUAA
Molecule: ribosomal RNA, 501 nt
Filed under: uncultured bacterium
Lineage: Bacteria
Description: partial 16S ribosomal RNA
Rfam family: Bacterial small subunit ribosomal RNA
Source: RNAcentral